Molecule: ribosomal RNA, 247 nt
Filed under: uncultured Comamonadaceae bacterium
Lineage: Bacteria; Pseudomonadati; Pseudomonadota; Betaproteobacteria; Burkholderiales; Comamonadaceae
Description: partial 16S ribosomal RNA
Rfam family: Bacterial small subunit ribosomal RNA
Source: RNAcentral
GUAGGGUGCAAGCGUUAAUCGGAAUUACUGGGCGUAAAGCGUGCGCAGGCGGUUGUGUAAGACAGGCGUGAAAUCCCCGGGCUCAACCUGGGAAUGGCGCUUGUGACUGCACAGCUGGAGUGCGGCAGAGGGGGAUGGAAUUCCGCGUGUAGCAGUGAAAUGCGUAGAUAUGCGGAGGAACACCGAUGGCGAAGGCAAUCCCCUGGGCCUGCACUGACGCUCAUGCACGAAAGCGUGGGGAGCAAAC